RNAcentral lists this ribosomal RNA (2451 nucleotides) under Triticum aestivum (bread wheat). Its description in RNAcentral is "partial small subunit ribosomal RNA". The record is from RNAcentral. Lineage: Eukaryota; Viridiplantae; Streptophyta; Magnoliopsida; Poales; Poaceae.
AUGCUCGGGGCCUCGAGGCGAUCCCUCUGCGCCGGCGCCGCCGCCCGCCGCCACGCCGCCGCCUUCGCGGUCUCCGGAGACGCCGCCGCCGCCGCCGCCGCCUCCUCCUCCCCCUCCCUCUCCCCCUCGGCCCCGCCGCGUUCGGUGACAAACCCAGACCCUGGUCUCUCUCGGCUUGGAGGGAAGAGGUUGCUCUCUGUGCUUGGGGCUCCCAAGCUUAAUGGAGCUGAAAGCUUGUCGUCCCUCAAGCUGAGGGAGAGUGCCCUUGUUGGGAGACGGUAUGAAUCGAGUGCUGCAGCAGUUGAUUCAUCUGACGCGCCACCUGCCGAGAAGUUCGAGUAUCAGGCUGAGGUCAAUAGGCUCAUGGAUUUGAUUGUGCACAGCUUGUAUAGCAACAAGGAAGUGUUUCUCCGGGAGCUGGUCAGCAACGCAAGUGAUGCACUUGACAAAUUGCGCUAUCUGAGUGUCACUGAUCCUGAUCUUCUUAAGGAUGGCCCUGAACUUGACAUUCGCAUCCAAACAGACAAGGACAAUGGAAUAAUAACGAUUAUUGAUUCUGGGAUUGGUAUGACGAGGCAAGAACUUGUUGAUUCUCUUGGAACUAUCGCAAGCAGUGGAACUGCCAAAUUCCUGAAGACAUUAAAGGAGAGCCAGGAAGCUAAUGUUGAUAGCAACUUGAUUGGCCAAUUUGGUGUUGGUUUCUAUUCAGCAUUUCUUGUUUCAGACAAGGUUGCUGUGUCAACAAAGAGCCCAAAAUCAGAAAAACAAUAUGUUUGGGAAGCAGAAGCAGAAUCUAAUUCCUACACCAUUCGAGAAGAGAAAGAUCCAGAGAAGCUCAUUCCUAGGGGAACUUGUCUUACACUUUACCUGAAGCGUGAUGACAAGGGUUUUGCUCACCCUGAGAGGAUCCAAAAACUUCUGAAGAAUUACUCUCAGUUUGUUUCCUUCCCAAUUUACACUUGGCAAGAGAAGGGCUUCACAAAAGAGGUUGAGGUUGACGAGGAUCCUGCUGAAGUUAAAACAGAAGGUGAUGGUGAACCCAAAAAAGAGCAGGUUAAGAAAAAGACAAAAACCGUUGUGGAGAAGUAUUGGGACUGGGAGCUUACGAAUGAAACACAACCUAUUUGGCUUCGGACUCCUAAGGAGGUAUCAACUGAGGAGUACAAUGAAUUUUACAAGAAGACCUUCAACGAGUAUUUGGAUCCCUUGGCCUCCUCACACUUCACUACAGAGGGUGAAGUAGAAUUCAGGUCAAUUCUGUAUGUGCCUGCUACAAAGAAAGAGGACAUAACUGAUAGGAAGACUAAAAAUAUCAGGCUUUAUGUCAAGCGGGUGUUCAUAUCAGAUGACUUCGAUGGAGAACUGUUCCCAAGAUACCUGAGCUUUGUGAAGGGUGUUGUUGACUCAAAUGACCUUCCACUAAAUGUUUCUCGUGAGAUCCUUCAAGAGAGUCGAAUUGUGCGUAUAAUGAGAAAGAGAUUGGUGCGGAAGGCCUUUGAUAUGAUACUUGGCAUUUCUUGUAGUGAAAACAGAGAUGACUAUGAAGCAUUUUGGGAGAACUAUGGAAAAUUUUUGAAGCUCGGUUGCAUGGAAGACAAGGAAAAUCACAAGAGAAUUGCUCCUUUGCUCCGUUUCUUUUCUUCUCAAAGCAAUGAGGAAUUAAUUAGCUUGGAUGAAUAUGUGGAGAGUAUGAAACCAGAGCAGAAGGCCAUUUAUUACAUUGCUGGAGAUAGUUUGAGCAGUGCCAAAAAUGCUCCUUUCUUAGAGAAGCUCAAUGAAAUGGGUUAUGAGGUUUUACUUUUGAUUGACCCUAUGGAUGAAGUGUCUCUCACAAACCUGAACUCCUACAAGGAUAAGAGUUUCGUGGAUAUUAGCAAGGAAGACCUGGACCUAGGUGAUAAGAAUGAGGAAAGAGAAAAGGAAAUGAAGCAGGAAUACAGUCAAACCUGUGACUGGAUCAAGAAACGUUUGGGUGAGAGGGUUGCUCGAGUUGAUGUAUCCAACCGUCUCAGCUCAUCACCAUGUGUUCUAGUUGCAGCCAAGUUUGGUUGGUCAGCCAAUAUGGAAAGGUUAAUGAGGGCGCAGUCUAUAGGUGAUACGUCUUCUCUGGAUUUCAUGCGUUCCAGGAAAGUAUUUGAAAUAAAUCCAGAGCAUGAGAUAAUCAAGCGAUUGAAUGCUGCGUGCAGAAUCAACCCUGAUGACCCAGAAGCUCUAAAGGCAAUCGACAUCCUCUUUGAAACUUCAAUGAUUUCUAGCGGUUUCACGCCUGAUAACCCAACUGACCUGAGCGGGAAGAUCUAUGACAUGAUGAGCACAGCUAUGGCGGGCAAGUGGGCGUCGCAGCCCCAACCUGCCCAGCCAAGCCAGCAGCCUGCUGCACCUAGUAGCUCUGAACCUGAGCCGCUUGAAGCCGAGGUGGUGGAACCCGUCGAGGCUGGCCAGCAGAAGUGA